Molecule: ribosomal RNA, 478 nt
Filed under: uncultured bacterium
Lineage: Bacteria
Description: partial 16S ribosomal RNA
Rfam family: Bacterial small subunit ribosomal RNA
Source: RNAcentral
GACGAACGCUGGCGGCGUGCUUAACACAUGCAAGUCGAACGGGAUGUCGUAAACAGUAACCUCCUUGGGAUAUUACUGAUGAGAGGGGCGAACGGUGGAUUACCGCCUUAUCAACCUGCCUAUGACAGUGGAAUAGCCUCGUGAAACCGGGAUUUAUACUGCAUAAAAUCGUACAAACACAUGAUUUAACGGUCAAAGAUUUAUCGGUCAUAGAUGGGCUCGCGUCUGAUUAUCUAGUUGUUGAGAUAACAGCACACCAAGGCGACGAUCAGUAGACGGUAUGAGAGGAUGAACGGACACACUGGAACUGAGACACGGUACAAACUCCUCCGGGAGGCAGCAGUGGGGAAUAUUGCAACAUGGGGGAAAUCAUGAUGCAGCGACGACGCGUGAACGAAGAAGGUAUUCGUAUCGUAAAGUUCUGUUAUAUGGGAAGAUAAUGACAGUACCAUAGAAGAAAGCUCCGGCUAACUACGUG